Molecule: non-coding RNA, 870 nt
Organism: Ictidomys tridecemlineatus (thirteen-lined ground squirrel)
Lineage: Eukaryota; Metazoa; Chordata; Mammalia; Rodentia; Sciuridae
Source: RefSeq, a predicted model, not a curated record
UGGCUCUGUGGCUGCGGGCUGAGCGAUCGGUCGCGCUCCGAGCCUAGGCGCGCUGGCUCCUAGCCGGGUGCAGCCCCGCGCCUCCCGCGCCUCCCGCGCGCAGCCCAGCGCCCCGCGCCCACGGGCUGGGCGCACUCACCUCCGCCGUACAGCUGGCACAGGCACGCUCCCUGGGAGUCCGUCCAGUGUGUUGGAGGGGGUGCUGGUUUGGGCAGCACAAAGAAUCACCCAGAUAACUCCACGACAGGACCCAGCGCUUGCAAAUGAGGGAGUCGCUCAGAUGCCGCUUGCUUGGAGAAGUGAAAGCUGGAGACUGAUAACCACCUGCUCCCAGUUACCCACUGUCAAGUUAUCAUGUUCACCCUACUCCCUACCACAGAGUCCAGAUGCCAUGUUGACACUCCAGAAAACUUUGGCUCAUUACGUCUCAUUAUAAUGAUAUAAAACACACCCACCCGUGCCAUGACAGAUCUGGCCAUGCCCAAGCUAGAGAAGAAAAGAGAUGGCACCGCGAUCCCUGGAUCUCCUCCCCUUCCUAUGAGAAACUCUGAUAAUAGCAUGCAGACCACACCCCCUUGUCACCCAUUGCUAGUGAACAUCCAGACUCCAGAGAAGCUUGCAAAAUGCCUGAAAAAUUUCCGGUCAGCUCUCAGGAGCCUGAAGGAGCCAGCGCCAGCACCCCAUGAAGGCGGUGGAGGGAGUUUGGAGCAGGGGAGGGGGUUCCGCUCUCCUUGGUGGCUGGAGCCCCAGAACAGUACGGUUUUCAGCCUAGCUGAGCCCUACCCUGUAUGCACCAAGGAACCUGCAAGAGCAGUUCAGGAGAGCCUGCCACGUGCCCCAUGUCAAUCAGGACAAGAUGCCCUGCAGGAU